Molecule: non-coding RNA, 95 nt
Organism: Hypoxylon sp. CO27-5
Lineage: Eukaryota; Fungi; Ascomycota; Sordariomycetes; Xylariales; Hypoxylaceae
Source: the annotation of a GenBank genome assembly
GGGCGCAUGGCCUAAUGGUAAGGCGUCAGAUUUCGGUUCCAUUCAUGGUUUAUACUGUUCUCUGAAGAUUGCAGGUUCGAUCCCUGCUGUGCUCG